GUCGGAGUAGAGCAGCCCGGUAGUUCGCUUGGCUCGUAGCCAAGAGGCCUAAGGUUCAAAUCGUCCCUCCGCAACCA
Molecule: transfer RNA, 77 nt
Filed under: Rhizobium leguminosarum
Lineage: Bacteria; Pseudomonadati; Pseudomonadota; Alphaproteobacteria; Hyphomicrobiales; Rhizobiaceae
Description: tRNA-Thr
Source: RNAcentral